Molecule: ribosomal RNA, 433 nt
Filed under: uncultured bacterium
Lineage: Bacteria
Description: partial 16S ribosomal RNA
Rfam family: Bacterial small subunit ribosomal RNA
Source: RNAcentral
AACGAACGCUGGCGGCAUGCCUAACACAUGCAAGUCGAACGAGACCUUCGGGUAUAGUGGCGCACGGGUGCGUAACGCGUGGGAGCCUGCCCUUAGGUGCGGAAUAACUCCCCGAAAGGGGUGCUAAUACCGGAUAAUUUCUUCGGACCAAAGAUUUAUCGCCUUUGGAUGGGCCCGCGUUGGAUUAGCUAGUUGGUAGGGUAAAAGCCUACCAAGGCGACGAUCCAUAGCUGGUCUGAGAGGAUGAUCAGCCACACUGGGACUGAGACACGGCCCAGACUCCUACGGGAGGCAGCAGUGGGGAAUAUUGGACAAUGGGCGAAAGCCUGAUCCAGCAAUGCCGCGUGAGUGAUGAAGGCCUUAGGGUUGUAAAGCUCUUUUACCCGGGAUGAUAAUGACAGUACCGGGAGAAUAAGCACCGGCUAACUCCGUG